AAAUUUGAAGACUGGAACCAAUUACGUAGCCUCACUAGCUCACUCACUACAAAAACAAAUAAAUCCAUGCAACAACAAAUGGGGACAGGAAGAAAUCGAGGUUUUAACAACUGCUUGAUUAGAAAAUCGCGAUAGGAACAAAUGGUUUGGCCAAAAACGCAGAAAAGGUGUAGGGUUUGCUCUUAAGAAAGAAGAGAAAAAGGGAGAAGAUUCUAACUCGCGCCAAAAACGAAAAAGAGGAGAAGAUUUUAGCUCGCGUAGGAAGACCAAAAAUGAAGAAGAGGAUCUAGGGUUUGCUCUGAAGAAAGAGUGAAAAAAAGGGAAGUUUAACCUUGCGAGUUUUGUUUGAGAAAAAAAGAUGAAAAAUGGAGAAGAUUGAACUUGCGGGUGCUCUGAAGAAAGAGGUGAAGGAUUUAUUC
RNAcentral lists this long non-coding RNA (419 nucleotides) under Phaseolus vulgaris (common bean). RNAcentral's name for it is "long non-coding RNA (PVUL_LNC000562)". The record is from RNAcentral. Lineage: Eukaryota; Viridiplantae; Streptophyta; Magnoliopsida; Fabales; Fabaceae.